RNAcentral lists this ribosomal RNA (196 nucleotides) under uncultured bacterium. RNAcentral describes it as "partial 16S ribosomal RNA". It matches the Rfam family "Bacterial small subunit ribosomal RNA", at positions 328 to 539 of the family's 1533-position model. The record is from RNAcentral.
ACGCUCGACACCUACGGGAGGCAGCAGUGGGGAAUAUUGCACAAUGGGGGAAACCCUGAUGCAGCGACGCCGCGUGAGCGAAGAAGUAUUUCGGUAUGUAAAGCUCUAUCAGCAGGGAAGAAACUGACGGUACCUGACUAAGAAGCACCGGCUAAAUACGUGCCAACAGCGGGUAAUCUGAGCGGGCUGGCAAGGC